RNAcentral lists this long non-coding RNA (2034 nucleotides) under Hordeum vulgare. Its description in RNAcentral is "long non-coding RNA (HVUL_LNC014456)". The record is from RNAcentral. Lineage: Eukaryota; Viridiplantae; Streptophyta; Magnoliopsida; Poales; Poaceae.
GGGUAUGGGACUUUUGAUCAAGAGAUGCAUUUACUUGUGUUUCCUGUACAAAAGCAAUAUUUUAUCAAUCCUCCGACCCAUGUGAUUAAGAUGAUAAACCUAGCAGGCACACAAAUUUUAUUUGUUACUACAAAGUCUAUCAAAAAUAAAGCCCAACCAGUAGGGUCCUAUCAGAAAAAGGCACGCCAAGUAAAGCCAACAUAUAGGCUAGGUAAUAUUGUGUGCUUUCCAGCAAUAUAUUUCUAAUCCCUUCAACCUAAAAAUUUUAAACAAAUAAUAUUUGUAGGUUCAGUUAUGCUUUUUGCAACAACAUUUCUUAAUUUGUAAGUUAAAGUAGUCCCCUUAGAUGGUUUUGUAGUCCCCUCCAUGGUUUGUGAUGAUCUUCGCCUCUACAGGUAGGCUUUUCGGGAGUACUCGUCGGUUAGGUUUAACAGGUUCUCGAGACGUACAUAGUUUGUGUCUCUCUCUUGUUGUGGGUGUGUCUUUUCCUCUGUAAGCUGAUUUUUUUCAGCUCAUUGGACAAUGGCACUAGACGUCCAAAAAAUUAACAAUACAUCAAGACGACUACUGACAUACCCGUGUGAUAUGUAUCUUACGUGAAACUUUUGAGUCAUCAUAACUACAGGUGUUAUUAUUUUUAUUCGUACCACUAGGUAAUCAAUUUUACAGUACUAACUUGGAUCACCCAAUCGGCUUGCCAAAUGCACGGGCAUGAUGCCGUUGUGUGGUGCUGCUUGAAGCGCACGCCCUUUGACUCGCUCUACCACUCAAAGGCGGUUGCUUGCCAUGCCACAAGUAUUGGUUCACGUCGUAGCACACCGUGUAGACCAUCUGCAACCAUGGUGUCAAGCGAUCCAGUGUCACUAUUACCACGUAUUCCACCCCCAUCAACUCAUAUUGAACCGCAACACUCAUGUUAGUCCAGUAUUGCAUGUUGUAUUCCAGUUCCCGGCGCCUUCUAUUCCUAUACCAUGAAAUUUAAAUAGGUACCUAGUAUUUAGGGAAAUCAAGAACACACGAAAUGUGGUUGUUCGAUGCUUCAAUGUAUAGAAAUUAAGUGGUGAGUAAGCUAUUCAUCCUUUGCUCCGGGAAGCCUCUCUCCUUAUAAGAUCCUUUCGAGAUAUGCAGUGACAUUAACUCUCUAGUCCUUCUAACAGAUCAAUAGCUUAGAAUCCCUUGGUUAUGAGCUUUGUCCUUGGGUGGUCGGAGGCUAUGAGAGCUUCAGACAAGCGGUGUGUUUAGUUGCAUUUUCUCUCAGAAAAGAAAAUAUUUUAUCAAUGUUCUGGCCACUCCACCAAGACGAUGCACGUACCAAACACAAGAGUUUUCUUUGUUACUGCAAUGUUGAUAAAAUAUAAACCUCUAGCAUUAAGGUUCUGUCCUCUUAUGAAAAAAAGGUAUGCUAAGUAAAGCCAACACAAGCUAGUUAAUAUUGUGUGGUUUCCAGCAAUAUAUUUCAAAAAUGAUACAAUUCGAGGGUUUGAUUUUUGACCAUGGAAACUGGAAUAUUUUUUAUGGCAAUUUUAGUUGACGCGAGGAUGGAUGUUUAGUUGGCAAAUACAACAUUUUUUUGGCAAAAAAUAAACUCUAGCGGAUUUGAGAUGUCUUAUCAACUAAUUUUGUCAUCCUCAACAAAUAUAAGUUGCCACAAUAAACAAUUGAUUUGUCAUGGUAAAAAAAACAUUCGGAAAUUAUCUACGUCCAUAUAUUUCUAAUCCUCUGAACCUCAAACAUAUAAUAUGUGUAACUUCAGUUAUGCCUUUUGCAAGAAUAUUGCUUAGGGUGUGGCUAGGUCUUAGUCGACUGAGAUUUAACCAAAUCUCAGUCAAGUGACAUAACAUUCAGAAGAGAAAAAUAAAAAAUUGAAAAUAAAAUUUUGCAUGGAUCUCAUGUAAGAUCUUACGGAUAUAGCAGCAACUGAGACAUAACGAAGUCUCAGUCGACUGAGACUUAGCAAUACCGUAUUGCUUAAUUUGUAGGUUCAAGUUUUAAAACCGUGUAUGUGAUUCAGUCUAAGUAAAGAAUAGGUUGUAN